UUUUUUUUUUUUUUUUUUUUUGGAGGUUGAGUUAAUCAUUAUCCUGUUUAUAACACGUUACUUUCAUUGUUCUUGCAAAGUGCUUUUUUACUUUAUUUCCUUUUUCUCUCCCUACUCCUCCUCGCCCCUCAUACAACCAUUCUGAUGGGUUUAACUGGUACCUCUUUUUUAUAUGCACUUACAGCAACAUGAGUAUAAUUUCAUGGGCAUGUAUUUUAAUUUGGGAAAAUGGUUUUAUACUGCAUCUCAUUUUUCUUACUUUUUUUUACUUGACACUAUGCCCUUAAGACGUAGUCAUGCUGAGAAACAUUCAUUUAAUCAAUUGCUUCUAAUGAAUGAACAAUACUCCUCUAUGUUCAUUCAACUAAAUUUGAACUAACUACUUUCCUAGUGAGGGACACUCAAAUUACCCCCAACUCCCUCUUACCAUCAAAAUAACCUUGUGUGAAUACCUUCUUAUGUCCUAUCAUGAUGUUUUACAUGUACAUACAUACACAUAUAUAUAUAUAUAUGUAUUUAUAUUGUGUGUGUGUGUGUGUGUAUAUACACACACAUAUAAAACAAAGACAUUUUCAUAUAUCUCCAAGAGUGUAGUUUUGCUGGGUCAUGGGGUAUAAGUGGCCCUAAUUUGAACAAGUGGUGUCAUAGGCUCUCCAAAAUGGCAGUAUCGGUCUUAUCUUCUAUUAGUAAUGCAUGAAGGUCCCCAAAGCCCAAGAAAUGCUGAGCAUAACUGAGCUCUUUAAAAUGCUACAGAUAUCAUUAUUUAAUUUGCAUCUCUCAACACUGGUGACUUAGAGUAUCUUUUCCAAUGUUUGAUGGCCUUUUGAGUUUCCUCCUCUUAAAUGCCUUUUCAAACCUCUGCCCAAAUUUUCUACAAAUAACUGCAUCACUUUAAAAAUAAUCUCCCGCCCCCAGUGAAAUCAGUUGAACAAGACAGGCAAGAGAGGCAACAAGAAAACCCACACAUGGGAACAGAUGGCAGCUAAUCCAUCUUCUGAAAAUGGCAGUGCCCCUGCAGUCCCCAGAGAAAUAAAGACCUUCACAACAGCAGUAGAAGGGACAGCAGCAAGGAAUUAGGCUAUGUGAAACAUACUCAUCCCCUGGGGUCCCUGCUCAGAGCAGAUGCUCAUUAAACACCAAUUCCCUUCCUUAUUUUAGAUUAUCACAACAAAUCUGUAAGAAGGAAAUCUAUGUAUUAUUCUUAUUCCCCUUUAAUGGAGAAAAAACUGCUUGGAUGAAGGCAUGAUGAGUUGCCUAAUGAGUGAGGGAGCUGAGGUGCUCUUUGCUUCUCCCUUCAUUUCUACCAGGAGUGUAAGCCUGAAAGCAGACAGCCUUGAUUUUCACCCCAGCUCCUCAACUUAUUAGCAUGUGGCAUUAGGCAAGUCAAGCCACUUCUCUGAACCUCAGUUUCACUCCAUCAAAUGGAGUAAUAAUGAUAACAUUUUUCUCAUGGCAUUGUACUGAGGAUUAAAUAAAUGAUUCUCUGUAAGCCAUGCAGAAUAGUGCCUGGCACCCAGUAAGUGCUUAGUGAGUGUUAGCUGCUGCUGCUGCUGCUAUUAUUAGUAUGAUUAAGCUUGUCCUUGGGGUAUGGACAUUGUACUAAAUUGACAUUAAAAACAGUCUUUUAUAUAUGCCCUCCAAUUACAAGGUUUUAAUAAUUCAUUUGGAAGGGCUAAAGGCCACAUAGCAUCUGAACAUUUUAAUCUGAACUAUUUUAUUUCAUUCUAAACAUUUCUCAUAAUAUACCUUUUUCCAACUCGGUUUUCAAAAAUAUCUUGAGGAGGCAAACAUUUUCCUUGAAAUUUUCUGGGGUGUUUUCCCCCAGAUCCUUACAUUUCCAGCAGCACAUUUGCAGGCUUCACUGACUAGUUAAAACAGAAUUGUUGAAAACAGGCUUCUAUACUAAGUAGGCUAGCACUUUUGUUCUCCUUUUACAAGAAUUAUCUUAUUCAUAUUUCUAUUCAUUGAAGUAACAAAGGAUGUCACCUAAAGAAGUAAAGCAGCUAGUGGUAGCUAUGUCCUGAAUAUAAGCAACCCUCACUUUUCUCAGCCUUAAAAUAUAAAAUGGAAGUGGGCAGCCAGGGAAUCAAAAUCAAGCAGGUGUGACAAAUACUAGGGUUAAGGAGCAACAGAAUGAGGGCUUCCUGGAAUCUAAAGUGGUCAGAAUUUAAUGAAUUACAAAAAUCCACACCACAAUGCAAAGAGAAGAACUAGGAACCCUAGUGUUUACCUCCUGGUUCGUUUACGUUAUAAUGAGCCAGGAUCUCCUGGCUAGUUGUGCUGCUUUUGUGGGACUCACAUUCCUUAUUGAAAGAUGAACAUGGGACAAAAUACCCUCUCUCUCCACAUUUCCUUCCAGUCCUAAAUUCUAGAACCUUAUAGUUUAUUCCUAGGUCUAGAUUUUUAAACAUUUCCUACAUGUUUAUAUGCAUACUACCUUUCCCAGAAAUUAUGUUAGUGGUGCAACAUUUAUCUCUUUGUAAUUUGAAUGCACACAUGAGAAUCCAGCUGCCACAUGUGAUUGUGAGAGAGAAACAGAACCUGUUGAAAAUGACCAGAUGCUCCUUCCAAAAACAUCAUUUUGACUAUGUUUUUCCCAGUCAUGCCUUCCUUGCAAAUGUAGGCUCUAAGAUGAGAAGCUACUUCUUUCUCCAUGUGGAUUUUCUCUUCUUCCCAAGUUGAACUGAAAAGGAUAAAACUCCCUGAGUCCCCCAGAAUUAACCAUCGCAAAUAUUCUGCAUGUAGGAUUUGCUGAGAAGUAUCUAAUAUGCAUGUCCAUAUCCUGAAAUCAAUAAAUGAGACCCUGGGAAAUGCCCUGAGAUCCAAAACUAAUGAGUAUAUGCAGUUCACCAAACAAUACAGAGCUACAUCAAUAGGCUCCUCUCUGGACCAUCAGAAAAAGAAAAUCACCAAGGAGAAAAUGAACAGCAUCCAGUCAUCAGUGACUCAGCCCCACUCAGCUUGGCUCAAAGGUAGUGGUGGGAUGGGGAUGGGGCAAGAAUAUGUCAUCUUAACAAGGCCAUUUGUGAUAUGGAAAUUUUUAUGUGGCCUAAAAAAGUUAACAUCUGUUUCAUGACACUGGAGGGGGACUUUACUCAUUACUUUAUGUUUUUUAAUAUUAUCUAAAAUUUUAUAAGAGAUAGGAAAGUAAGUAUGCAUAAAAGAGCCAUCUUCACACUCCCCUAAGCAAGUACUCCAUAACAAGGGAAACAGGGAAUCCUCUAAGAAUUGACUUGUAAAGUCAGUUGUGCUAUAAUGCCUGUUUGAAAACACAAAUUUGUUUCAGUGUAAUUGACAUACCAGGGAAAAAUUUGAGCAUAACGCAAAUUUUGUGUUUGCAUGUGAACAAUUUCAACCAUGAGAAAUUUGGCCACUAGGUGACUGCAGAAAACCACACAUAGCUGAACCAAAGGCUAUCCACAAAUGUGCGCAUACCCCUAACACCCACCAGCUACCUAGCUCACCCAUCCACAUUUGCUCUUACAAUUUCCCUUCAGAUUUCAAACAACUCUCCUUCCACCACUUACAAUAACUCAUAAGCUACAACCUUUCCAAUGCCCACUUUCACAAGAAAUUUCAAAAUAAAAACAAGUGAUUUUGUGUUUUCCCAGUCAUUUCAUUCCUGCGGGUACCUACAACCAAUUUUCCCUUCACCAUUCCUCCUGAAAUCCAGCUCCUUGUUCACUACAGCCUUCAAAGGUAGAUGCCAGAAUUUUUUUUCUUGGUUUGUUUUUCCUCCAUUGGAAAAGAGCUAUUUUUUUUUAGGAAAGGGAGAAAAAAGCAAACAAACAAACAAAAAUAAACCUGCACUGCUAUUAAUAUGGACAAAGUACAUGAGCUCUCACCACAGACACACUCUCAAAGCCCUCAGGAUUUGUUUUUAUUUUUCAACAGACUGGAUUUGUCAGUACAGACCUGCCAAUUGUCUCCCACCAGAACUAAACAAUACCCUAAAUCUUCUCCUUUAAUGGAGUAGUACUGGGGAGAAUGGGGGAGGGCAGAACAGCAAAGGCAGUUCAAACUCCAUCUAUGGAUGGCAGUCAAGGGCACAGAUAGAACUUAGUAUAAGUCUAUGACAACCAAAGAGACAUAUUUUCUUAGACUUAAUGUGAGGUAUGGAAGAAAAUGGAGUAAAAUGUAUUUCUUGCCCUGACCCUAAACUGCUCUAGGGUAACUUCAAAGAUGCAUAUGAGAAACUAUGAUAAAAAUAUACACAAAAUAAUAAAAAAUGAAGCAAAGGAGCAUGUGUGUAUGUAUAUACAAUCACAUAUAUAUGAAUAUAUACACAUAUAUAGGUAAGUCAUAAUUCAAACCCUAAUUAGAGUCUUGAUAAUCUUGGCUACAUAAAAAUGAGGAAAGAGCUCAAAAUGGAACCCAGGAGAAAGAGAGAUGUAGGUGAAGGAAAAUCAGGCACUGAAGCCAUAAUCCUGGGUUCAAAUACCAGUUUAGCCAUUUAUUUCCUGGGCAGGUAAUUCCACCUAGAGUUAUUUUCAAGAUUAAACAACAAUGUUCCUAAGGUCUCAGGGGGUCACAAGUUUUGUGGUAAAUCUGGUUUUAUAGUAUGUUCAGAAAUUCAGAUAGUUGGGUGUCCCAGAGUACUCAGUUCUGGGUCUGAAGGACAGGAUAUGAGCACACAUCCAUGACCCCCAGACCCAAGGGACAGUGGUCAGAGCCAAGCUGGCCCCAAAGAAGUUAGAGAAUUGAGAAAUCCACAGGGACAGUAGCCUGAUUUCUAAUCACUCUAGGUUGGGAGAACCUUUAGGACAGCAAUUCCCAAAAUGGCACCAGCAGCAUCUGCAUACCUGGAGACUUAGAAGUGUAAAUUAUUGGACCUUAUUUCAUAGUGACUGAAUAAGAAAAUAUGGGCUUAAGGGUUUGUAACUCAGUUUAAGAACCACACCCUUAGGAGAUAGAGUUUUGCUUCAGUAGGUUGAGGAGUCCGCAUCUGUUUUAAGUUAGAGUUUUGCAAAGGUCUGAUUUAAUAAAAGAAUCCCCCCAUCCCUCUGGCCCUGUUCCACUAUUUAGCAAAGAAUUCACACCACUCUCUGGCUAUUCUGGUCACCCAGCAACACUUGCCACCUCCUCAGGCCAUUAGAAGUAUGGGUCAAGUCUUGAUCCAAUCAAAAAUGUCACAAAUAUGCCAAUCAAAUGGCAUGACGAUUUGUGGACAGAAAGCAAUGAAGGAUGUAAUCCUCUUAGAAUUAAAGGAGUGUAGAAAAAGAAAAAAAAAAAAACCAAUUGGAGUGUGUAAAUAGGGCCCACAGUGGAAGGACUGAUGUCAAAAUACUCCCUUUCACAUAGCCAGCACCAACUACUUAUUUCUGUUUGUCAUCCUGUCUGCCUGUGUCUGAAAUUAGUGUUGCAUGCUCAAACAAGCAAGCUACUGUAUCUGGUGACCAGCCUCCCUGCUACCUCCCCUCCCCACACUCAAAUCAACUCCAGGAUCAUCAGAGUGUGAGUUUAUGUAGCACUUACAACAUCUAGGCCCCUUGAUUUUCUUCCUUGUCUUUAUCCACUUGCUCAUCUGAUUGUAUUUUCGCUAAUCUUCCAAAAGAUGGAUGAGGGGAAAAAGGCAAAACAAAAAAAGGUGGGCAAAAUAGCUUGGGGAAGAGACUUACAAUUAAAAUGGGAGCUAAAAUACAGGAUUUAUGAUGAAUUAGUGGAUUUCAUUAUCCUGUAGAGUUCUGUAAGGGGUGCUAUCUCUACUUACCAACCCUGAAAAGAAAAUCUGUAACAGCUACGAAUCACAAUUCCCAAGCAUCCUACUAUGCACUAAUGCUGCACCAAAACUAAGAUCAGUCUGAAUAGCAGAAAGAGGGCACAUCUUCUACAAGGUGUUAAGAUGAUAGUAAAAAAAUCACAAUUAAAAUUGCAAUUACUAAUUAGAAUAAAAAACACACUGAACAACACCUAUAGCAUGGACUCACUUACUGAUUUAUGUAUUAUUAAUACAUGCAAUGGCAGGUGGCAUUUCUAAUUUUUCCCACCACAACCUUUAUGAGUUUUAGAAAUAAAAUAAUUCAUAUACUUACAAGGGAAUACUCAUGUUAUAUAGUAAAUGAAGCAAAUGGAUAUACACUGUGACUGUUAACUGUGCAAAAGAUUCCAAGGAUAAUUUUUGGUUGUAAUAUUUAUCCUAUUCCCUUUAGAAAUAGUCAGCUUAUCACUCUAAACUCUCCCUAGAGAUACAUGGUACUCAAUUUUGAUGGAGAUAUCUCAUAAAAGGAAUCCUAAGUCACAGAGUACUGUAAUUAGAAUAAACCUUGGGGAUCAUCUAAUUCAACCCUCCCUCAUUUAAUGGGCAAAGAUAUUGAGGCUCUGGGGAUUCGAUAUUUGCCCAUGAUCAUGCAGCUUGUCAGAAGCAUGAUGGGACUAGCCCUUUCCUCUUCAGACUCUCUAAUACACUGUUCUUCCUGCUGUAUUAUUCUGCCUCUGAGCUUCAGGCAGAGCUAACUACCAGAGAUCUGACUCCACCAGAAGGCCGGAGAGUAUAGGCUCCAGAUAGAACUUUUUCUACUGCACAUUUUCCCUACGCCUGGGUUUAGCUGCAAUCUAAUCAUCACAUGCUU
RNAcentral lists this long non-coding RNA (6569 nucleotides) under Sus scrofa (pig). RNAcentral's name for it is "lncRNA (ENSSSCG00035048648.1)". Lineage: Eukaryota; Metazoa; Chordata; Mammalia; Artiodactyla; Suidae. The record is from RNAcentral.